RNAcentral lists this signal recognition particle RNA (287 nucleotides) under Aotus nancymaae (Ma's night monkey). RNAcentral's name for it is "Metazoan signal recognition particle RNA (ENSANAG00000010562.1)". It matches the Rfam family "Metazoan signal recognition particle RNA". Rfam says of the family: The signal recognition particle (SRP) is a universally conserved ribonucleoprotein. It is involved in the co-translational targeting of proteins to membranes. Lineage: Eukaryota; Metazoa; Chordata; Mammalia; Primates; Aotidae. The record is from RNAcentral.
GCCAGGCGCGACAGCACAGGCCUGGUCAUCCCAGCUACUCCAAAGGCUUAGGCAGGAGGACCACCCCAGUUCAGGAGUUCUGGGCUAUAGUGCGACAUGCAGAUCUAGCAUCUGCAUUAGGUUCAAUAUGAAUAUGGUGACUUCCUGGAAGUGGGGAACCACCAGGUUGCCUAAGGAAAGGUGAACUACCCAGGUAGGAAAUGGAACAGGUGCUGAUGACUAGCGGGAUCACACCUGUGAAUAGCCACUGCACUCCAGCCUGGGCAACAUAGUGAGACCCCAUUUCU